UUGCCAGACUCCUACGGGAGGCAGCAGUGAGGAAUAUUGGUCAAUGGGCGCGAGCCUGAACCAGCCAAGUCGCGUGAGGGAGGACGGCCCUACGGGUUGUAAACCUCUUUUGCCGGGGAGCAACGGGCGUCACGUGUGGCGCCACUGAGAGUACCCGGAGAAAAAGCAUCGGCUAACUCCGUGCCAGCAGCCGCGGUAAUACGGAGGAUGCGAGCGUUAUCCGGAUUUAUUGGGUUUAAAGGGUGCGUAGGCGGAAUGCCAAGUCAGCGGUAAAAUCGGGGGGCUCAACCUCGCUCCGCCGUUGAAACUGGCGUUCUUGAGUGGGCGAGAAGUAUGCGGAAUGCGUGGUGUAGCGGUGAAAUGCAUAGAUAUCACGCAGAACUCCGAUUGCGAAGGCAGCAUACCGGCGCCCAACUGACGCUGAAGCACGAAAGCGUGGGUAUCGAACAGGAUUAGAUACCCGAGUAA
This 468-nucleotide ribosomal RNA is filed under the name uncultured bacterium. Its description in RNAcentral is "bacterial SSU rRNA". It matches the Rfam family "Bacterial small subunit ribosomal RNA", at positions 328 to 793 of the family's 1533-position model. The record is from RNAcentral.